GUGCAAUAUAGGAAGAAUUAUUUCAUUAAGGGUAAUACAAACUUUUUAAUAAAAAUAAAUAGUAAUAGGCCGAUUAGAAAAAUCUCUCGAAUUUUGGAAAGUCCAUCUUAGUGAAUCUUGUGUGGUUGAAGUGGCGGGACCCUUCCUCUUUGUUGGACACUCCAUGAGACGAAGAGCUCUUUUCGCCAUGAAGUUAAGAUGAUUAUUCCCAAGAAACGAAACACAAAUAAUGAGUCAAGGACCUCCUUUAGCUUAUCCUCCAUUCUUCGCAUCUGAGCUCUUGUUUCCCCGGAUUCAAUGGUUGAUCCCUACAAGCCAUCACGUACCUCCUGCAAGUCGUACUCCAACUAUGGAUGGCAAUUAGAACCGUUAAAACUGAAAAUCGCGGUUAACCGAAUCGAAUGAGGCGAAAAAAAUCGAAUCGAUGGUGCAAUGAGACGGAUAUGGUAUUUAAUUUUAAUGAAUCGGUUUGUGACGGUGAGGAUAUUUAUGCCGUCGAACCGAAACUGAAUCAAUUACCCCCUUAAAAAAAAUUCUUUUAUUAGGGAUGACAAGAUUUAGUGAGGAGGAAGUUGAUGAAAAGAUACAUUUUUUUAUUUAAAUUUUAGUUAAAACCAUUUUGGAUUAGGUAGUAUUGUUGUAUUCUCUACUUGAGUGUUGACCUAUGUAAAUAAGAGUUGUGGGGGAAGAAUGAAGAUUGAAGAUGAGUUAAGGUUGAAGCUUUUGAAUUAUUGAGCAUGAAGCAAGUAACUACAAUGCACAACAAUCAAG
Molecule: long non-coding RNA, 771 nt
Filed under: Olea europaea subsp. europaea
Lineage: Eukaryota; Viridiplantae; Streptophyta; Magnoliopsida; Lamiales; Oleaceae
Source: RNAcentral